This 72-nucleotide transfer RNA is filed under the name Candidatus Nomurabacteria bacterium. RNAcentral's name for it is "tRNA-Arg". It matches the Rfam family "tRNA". Rfam says of the family: Transfer RNA (tRNA) molecules are approximately 80 nucleotides in length. Their secondary structure includes four short double-helical elements and three loops (D, anti-codon, and T loops). Further hydrogen bonds mediate the characteristic L-shaped molecular structure. tRNAs have two regions of fundamental functional importance: the anti-codon, which is responsible for specific mRNA codon recognition, and the 3' end, to which the tRNAs corresponding amino acid is attached (by aminoacyl-tRNA synthetases). tRNAs cope with the degeneracy of the genetic code in two manners: having more than one tRNA (with a specific anti-codon) for a particular amino acid; and 'wobble' base-pairing, i.e. permitting non-standard base-pairing at the 3rd anti-codon position. The record is from RNAcentral. Lineage: Bacteria; Candidatus Nomuraibacteriota.
GUCCCUGUAGUUCAAUGGAUAGAACAAGAGUUUCCUAAAUUCUAGAUCCAAGUUCGACUCUUGGUGGGGACA